GCUCGAGAUAGAAGGUUUGUCGCAUCGCAUAUCACGAUUUGGCAGGUUACACCAAUAGCCCGCAAACAAAAGGGACCACCCGAUCUGUUCUCGGAUAACCGCAUGCAACGCGAGCACGUUUGACUUCAUUCCAAUCAAUACACCAAGUUCCCUAUGAGCUAUCGCAAGACUUGCACGUAACAUCCGUAUAGUUUGGAGAGAUAGAUUUGCUACGAGAGUUGCGAAUUCCAAGAAACAAGAGUUAUACGGCAUAAGCUAGUGAUCUCCGACGACAGAUUAAGCCACAACGAGACUCGGCUGCGUUGGAUUUAAGUAUCGAAAGAGUAAACACAAGACACCCAAAGGCCUUCGAAAGAGGGCCUUUGAUUUACAGGCUUAGGUGCUUCGGUCGUGCCACAGCAACGAGACUCUCUGAGCGUAGUGAUAGCAUCUAGGGACGGCAAAGGCAAGACCGAUUGAGCCGAAUUUACUGCAUUUCGUUCCCGCCAACCAUACGUGCGAUAGCGAGACCGCAAGGACACGAAGGAGCAGACUACACGAUCGUCGCAAUGCUUGCCGAUUAGGCAAGACAGAAAGGGAUCUAGCGCACCGGUGGCAGCGUGUGAAGUACAGUAAAGUCAACAUCAAGGGGCCCCCACCGAUAUGAAUAAGUUAAAGAUGUGAACUUUGUAAAGGGUGGCAAAAUGUA
Molecule: long non-coding RNA, 688 nt
Organism: Wyeomyia smithii (pitcher-plant mosquito)
Lineage: Eukaryota; Metazoa; Arthropoda; Insecta; Diptera; Culicidae
Exons: 4
Source: RefSeq, a predicted model, not a curated record